Molecule: ribosomal RNA, 468 nt
Filed under: uncultured bacterium
Lineage: Bacteria
Description: partial 16S ribosomal RNA
Rfam family: Bacterial small subunit ribosomal RNA
Source: RNAcentral
GACGAACGCUGGCGGCGUGCUUAACACAUGCAAGUCGAACGGAAAGGCCCUGCUUUUGUGGGGUGCUCGAGUGGCGAACAGGUGAGUAACACGUGAGUAACCUGCCCUUGACUUUGGGAUAACUUCAGGAAACUGGGGCUAAUACCGGAUAGGAGCUCCUGCUGCAUGGUGGGGGUUGGAAAGUUUCGGCGGUUGGGGAUGGACUCGCGGCUUAUCAGCUUGUUGGUGGGGUAGUGGCUUACCAAGGCUUUGACGGGUAGCCGGCCUGAGAGGGUGACCGGCCACAUUGGGACUGAGAUACGGCCCAGACUCCUACGGGAGGCAGCAGUGGGGAAUAUUGCACAAUGGGCGGAAGCCUGAUGCAGCAACGCCGCGUGCGGGAUGACGGCCUUCGGGUUGUAAACCGCUUUCGCCUGUGGCGAAGCGUGAGUGACGGUAAUGGGUAAAGAAGCACCGGCUAACUACGUG